CUGAUACAACAACCUGGAGGGUCUUUUGAAACGAGAUGAUUUCGGACAGUAAAAGUGAGCACAGCUGAUAGUGCCUGACAGAAAGAGAAGAGCAAUGGCAGGGUAUUUACCAACAUCACCAAAACCAGGAAAGACCAGGAGAUGGAGUCUGGAUGAACCUCCAACUCUGACAUCCUCCAGUGGUGCUGUAGACGAGGAGUCUCCAAGUUCUGUGGAUCUGGAAGUGUUGACGGAUCCAGUCUCCACUGACAAAUGCCUGAAAGAAAGUCAGCAUUGCAGCUGCUUAGUGUGUAAACGGAAAUACAGUAA
Sinocyclocheilus rhinocerous is the source of this 309-nucleotide long non-coding RNA. RefSeq lists it as uncharacterized. Lineage: Eukaryota; Metazoa; Chordata; Actinopteri; Cypriniformes; Cyprinidae. The record is from RefSeq and is a predicted model, not a curated record. The transcript has 3 exons.